GAAGCGAGAUGGUCUUCGCAGAAGCGGCCAGGAAUGACUGAGGAUGGAGUCGCAGAAGCGGGAAGGUGGACCGCGGAAGCGGAGUCGCACUUGCGGAGGGGAGAUCGCAAAAGUGGAGUUGGCCAAGAAGGCCUGGGGCCGCAGGAGCGGACUUUGUCAACCAGGUGCGUGAGCGCAGAUGCGCUAGUCGUCCGCAGAAGCGGAAGCGCAUAAGCGCUAUUUGGGACGGAAAAGCGGAGGCUCCUGGCUUGAGCUGUUGCCGCACCUGCGAUGGUUUUUCCGCAGGUGCGGAGCCGCAGAAGUGGCUAUUUUACCGCAGAUACGAAAGGUCGUCUAGGCAGAGGUGUUCUUUUAAAAGCGGGAUUUGGCCCAUUUUCUCUCAUUUUUCACUUGGUUGGGGCGAAUUUGGAUAGCUUCAUGAGGUGAUUUUCAUCAAGCAACACAAGGUUUGAAGAGACAUGCAUCGGGUUGAAGUGUUUGAGUGGCGUUGUAGCCGGUUAUGGAACUUCGGAGCGAGGAAUGUUGGAAGUUUGGUCUCCCAUGAUGAAAUCCAACUAAAAAAUGAGUGUUAUGAAUUACAAGGCAAUAAAGGGUGAAAAAUCAAAGAAGUGCGGUCCGUAGAAGAAAGUGCAGACCGCAGAAUUUCAUUUGCGGCGGCAAACCAAGUGAAAGAACCCAAUAGGACUUUUGCCAAUGUGUGAACCGCACAUGAAUUGUGCGGCCACAGAACAGGGUCUGCACUGACAAGUGAUUCCAAGUUCAGAGAGUGUGCAAAAGACCAAGUCCUGAAGCCUUGCUGAAGUGCAGACCGUACAAGAAUUGUACGGCUGCAGAAGAUGCUUCGCAGCCGCAAUCCAGAAAUGUGCGGCUACAGAACCCAAGUUCCUGCCAACUGAAGAAAUCUGCGGAUCGCACAUGGAAUUGUGCGGCCGCAGAACCUCCUGAAGGGCAUUUUUGUCAGCGAAUUUUAGGCAUCUUUGAUUAUGUGUUUAAUUAGCAUUUCUUCUUUAUUUUCUUCAA
Molecule: non-coding RNA, 1020 nt
Organism: Nicotiana tabacum (common tobacco)
Lineage: Eukaryota; Viridiplantae; Streptophyta; Magnoliopsida; Solanales; Solanaceae
Source: RefSeq, a predicted model, not a curated record